RNAcentral lists this ribosomal RNA (428 nucleotides) under uncultured bacterium. RNAcentral describes it as "partial 16S ribosomal RNA". It matches the Rfam family "Bacterial small subunit ribosomal RNA", at positions 354 to 796 of the family's 1533-position model. The record is from RNAcentral.
GUCGAGAAUCUUCCGCAAUGCGCGAAAGCGUGACGGAGCGACACCGCGUGAUGGAUGAAGUCCUUCGGGGCGUAAACAUCUUUUAUAAAGGAGGAAAUUUUUGACGUUACUUUAUGAAUAAGGGGCUCCCAAUCUCGUGCCAGCAGGAGCGGUAAUACGAGAGCCUCAAGCGUUAUCCGGAAUCAUUGGGCGUAAAGGGUGCGUAGGUGGUUUGAUUAGUCUCCCGUUAAAACUUCGAGCUUAACUCGAAAAGAGCGGGGGAAACGGUCAAACUAGAGUAUGUGAGAGGUGUGUGGAACUCAUGGUGUAGGGGUGAAAUCCGUUGAUAUCAUGGGGAACACCAAAAGCAAAGGCAGCACACUGGCACAUCACUGACACUGAGGCACGAAACCUAAGGUAGCGAAUGGGAUUAGAAACCCGUGUAGUCC